Molecule: long non-coding RNA, 240 nt
Organism: Chelonoidis abingdonii (Abingdon island giant tortoise)
Lineage: Eukaryota; Metazoa; Chordata; Testudines; Testudinidae
Source: RefSeq, a predicted model, not a curated record
GUCCGCUAGGAUUUCAGCAGAUACUCUAAGGGCAUGGCUGGGUUUGUUAAAGUCCAGAGAAAGAACUUUCAAGAACCAGCAAAGAAAUAUAUGUCAAAACUCCAAAUUCUAAAGGGCUAGCCCAUCUGAGCAGAGCAACAAGAUUACAAUCAAGAAUGAUGCAGAGAAGGGCAACCACCAUAGUGCGAUGAUCUGCUAAGCCUGAAAAUGAAGAUUUAUGCUGGAAAGCCUGGCAGACCC